This 304-nucleotide unclassified non-coding RNA is filed under the name Hevea brasiliensis (rubber tree). Lineage: Eukaryota; Viridiplantae; Streptophyta; Magnoliopsida; Malpighiales; Euphorbiaceae. The record is from RNAcentral.
UUAUUCACUGGGAUGCCUGCAAAAAAGCAAAGGCGUUUAAGUUCCAACAUCAUGAUACACCAAAGCUCAACCAUUACGUUCUUAUGUAUAUAGAGAAAAGCAAAGAGAGAGAGAGGGCCAGAGGAGGAAAAAAGAUAAAAUUCGUAUGUAUUUACUAAAAUCCUAAAAUUCAUUGCUAGAACAAAUAGGUUGGGGAGAUCAUAUUUAGCCAACACGAAGCUCUUAGGUUCACUAUGAAGAUGGAAUGUUUACUGGAAGAAAAUUGCAACAACAUUGUUUUUGCAUGCUGCCAUUAUCAUAAAAA